This 715-nucleotide ribosomal RNA is filed under the name Staphylococcus cohnii. RNAcentral describes it as "bacterial SSU rRNA". It matches the Rfam family "Bacterial small subunit ribosomal RNA", at positions 1 to 697 of the family's 1533-position model. The record is from RNAcentral. Lineage: Bacteria; Bacillati; Bacillota; Bacilli; Caryophanales; Staphylococcaceae.
UUUUAUGGAGAGUUUGAUCCUGGCUCAGGAUGAACGCUGGCGGCGUGCCUAAUACAUGCAAGUCGAGCGAACAGAUAAGGAGCUUGCUCCUUUGACGUUAGCGGCGGACGGGUGAGUAACACGUGGGUAACCUACCUAUAAGACUGGAAUAACUCCGGGAAACCGGGGCUAAUGCCGGAUAACAUUUAGAACCGCAUGGUUCUAAAGUGAAAGAUGGUUUUGCUAUCACUUAUAGAUGGACCCGCGCCGUAUUAGCUAGUUGGUAAGGUAACGGCUUACCAAGGCAACGAUACGUAGCCGACCUGAGAGGGUGAUCGGCCACACUGGAACUGAGACACGGUCCAGACUCCUACGGGAGGCAGCAGUAGGGAAUCUUCCGCAAUGGGCGAAAGCCUGACGGAGCAACGCCGCGUGAGUGAUGAAGGUCUUCGGAUCGUAAAACUCUGUUAUUAGGGAAGAACAAAUGUGUAAGUAACUGUGCACGUCUUGACGGUACCUAAUCAGAAAGCCACGGCUAACUACGUGCCAGCAGCCGCGGUAAUACGUAGGUGGCAAGCGUUAUCCGGAAUUAUUGGGCGUAAAGCGCGCGUAGGCGGUUUCUUAAGUCUGAUGUGAAAGCCCACGGCUCAACCGUGGAGGGUCAUUGGAAACUGGGAAACUUGAGUGCAGAAGAGGAAAGUGGAAUUCCAUGUGUAGCGGUGAAAUGCGCAGAGAU